UACGGAGGGUGCAAGCGUUAAUCGGAAUUACUGGGCGUAAAGCGUGCGUAGGCGGAUGCUUAAGUCUGAUGUGAAAUCCCCGGGCUUAACCUGGGAACUGCAUUGGAUACUGGGCGUCUAGAGUAUGGUAGAGGGUGGCGGAAUUUCUGGUGUAGCGGUGAAAUGCGUAGAUAUCAGAAAGAACACCAAUGGCGAAGGCAGCCACCUGGGCCAAUACUGACGCUGAGGUACGAAAGCGUGGGGAGCAAAC
Molecule: ribosomal RNA, 250 nt
Filed under: uncultured bacterium
Lineage: Bacteria
Description: partial 16S ribosomal RNA
Rfam family: Bacterial small subunit ribosomal RNA
Source: RNAcentral